RNAcentral lists this ribosomal RNA (255 nucleotides) under uncultured Pseudomonas sp. RNAcentral describes it as "partial 16S ribosomal RNA". It matches the Rfam family "Bacterial small subunit ribosomal RNA", at positions 96 to 354 of the family's 1533-position model. The record is from RNAcentral. Lineage: Bacteria; Pseudomonadati; Pseudomonadota; Gammaproteobacteria; Pseudomonadales; Pseudomonadaceae.
CGGCGGACGGGUGAGUAAUGCCUAGGAAUCUGCCUGGUAGUGGGGGACAACGUUUCCGAAAGGAACGCUAAUACCGCAUACGUCCUACGGGAGAAAGCAGGGACCUUCGGGCCUUGCGCUAUCAGAUGAGCCUAGGUCGGAUUAGCUAGUUGGUGAGGUAAUGGCUCACCAAGGCGACGAUCCGUAACUGGUCUGAGAGGAUGAUCAGUCACACUGGAACUGAGACACGGUCCAGACUCCUACGGGAGGCAGCAG